AAAAGAGCAAUUCUUUUUUUUAAGAUGUACAUUUGAUUAAGACCAUGCAUAUGUCCCCAGACCUAGUUCUUUGCCUAGGUCUGGUUUUAUAAAUGCUGGUGAUAAAC
Molecule: small nucleolar RNA, 107 nt
Filed under: Cervus hanglu yarkandensis (Yarkand deer)
Lineage: Eukaryota; Metazoa; Chordata; Mammalia; Artiodactyla; Cervidae
Description: Small nucleolar RNA SNORA72 (ENSCHYG00000008020.1)
Rfam family: Small nucleolar RNA SNORA72 (bases 20-107)
About the family: U72 is a member of the H/ACA class of snoRNAs. The snoRNA gene is located in intron 4 of the ribosomal L30 protein gene in human, mouse and chicken.
Source: RNAcentral